Molecule: ribosomal RNA, 776 nt
Filed under: uncultured Neocallimastigales
Lineage: Eukaryota; Fungi; Neocallimastigomycota; Neocallimastigomycetes; Neocallimastigales
Description: partial large subunit ribosomal RNA
Rfam family: Eukaryotic large subunit ribosomal RNA
Source: RNAcentral
ACACGCAUGACACACUGCAUAUCAAUAAGCGGAGGAAAAGAAACUAACAAGGAUUCCCCUAGUAACGGCGAGUGAAGCGGGAAGAGCUCAAAUUUGAAAUCUUAAAGGGUUUCCCUUUACGAAUUGUAGUUCAAAGAAGUGUUUUCUGUUGGAGUUUCGGUAAAAGUUCUUUGGAAUAGGACAUCAUAGAGGGUGAGAAUCCCGUAUUUGACCGUUACUUUCCAGCUGUGUGAUUACACUUUCAAAGAGUCGGAUUGUUUAGGGAAUGCAGUCCAAAAUGGGUGGUAAAUUUCAUCUAAAGCUAAAUAUUGGCGAGAGACCGAUAGCGAACAAGUACCGUGAGGGAAAGAUGAAAAGAACUUUGAAAAGAGAGUUAAACAGUACGUGAAAUUGUCAAAAGGGAAGCGUUUGACACCAGUGUUGUUUAGUUGAAAAUCAAUUCAAUAAUUUUUGAUUUUGAGUAGUAUUGACUUCAUCAGCUUGCUGCUUUCUUUUCGGAAAUUAUUGAAUGCACUUUUCAGUUAACAAGUCAACAUCAAUUUCUUUUGUUGUAAAAGGGUAAGAGGAAGGUGGCUUACGCUUCGGCGUAAGUGUUUAUAGCCUUUUACCUCUGCAAUCGGAGAGAUUGAGGACAGCAGCGUAGACUCUUCGGGGUUAGAUACACUUGUGCUGAGCUAUAGCCUUGUAUAGACAACUUGUUGACUAUGCUCAGUCAUGUAGCUUACUCGCAUGUGCUAUUUUACCUACGCUUAGGAUGUUGAACUACUGAGACAUAG